CUACACGGGUAUCUAAUCCUGUUUGCUACCCACGCUUUCGAGCCUCAGCGUCAAUAUUGGCCCAGAAGACUGCCUUCGCCAUUGGUGUUCCUCCACAUAUCUACGCAUUUCACCGCUACACGUGGAAUUCCGUCUUCCUCUACCAUAUUCUAGUCGCGCAGUUUCGAAUGCAAUUCCAAGGUUGAGCCCUGGGCUUUCACAUCCGACACACGCAACCGCCUGCACUCGCUUUACGCCCAGUAAUUCCGAUUAACGCUUGCACCCUCCGUAUUACCGCGGCUGCUGGCAC
RNAcentral lists this ribosomal RNA (289 nucleotides) under uncultured Salinisphaera sp. Its description in RNAcentral is "partial 16S ribosomal RNA". The record is from RNAcentral. Lineage: Bacteria; Pseudomonadati; Pseudomonadota; Gammaproteobacteria; Salinisphaerales; Salinisphaeraceae.